This 253-nucleotide ribosomal RNA is filed under the name uncultured bacterium. RNAcentral describes it as "partial 16S ribosomal RNA". It matches the Rfam family "Bacterial small subunit ribosomal RNA", at positions 524 to 776 of the family's 1533-position model. The record is from RNAcentral.
UACGGGGGGGGCAAGCGUUGUUCGGAAUUACUGGGCGUAAAGGGCUCGUAGGUGGCCAACUAAGUCAGACGUGAAAUCCCUCGGCUUAACCGGGGAACUGCGUCUGAUACUGGAUGGCUUGAGUUCGGGAGAGGGAUGCGGAAUUCCAGGUGUAGCGGUGAAAUGCGUAGAUAUCAGGAGGAACACCGGUGGCGAAGGCGGGUCUCUGGGCCGAUACUGACGCUGAGGAGCGAAAGCGUGGGUAGCAAACAGG